This 350-nucleotide ribosomal RNA is filed under the name uncultured bacterium. RNAcentral describes it as "bacterial SSU rRNA". It matches the Rfam family "Bacterial small subunit ribosomal RNA", at positions 355 to 697 of the family's 1533-position model. The record is from RNAcentral.
UGGGGAAUAUUGGACAAUGGGCGCAAGCCUGAUCCAGCCAUGCCGCGUGUGUGAAGAAGGCUCUAGGGUUGUAAAGCACUUUCAGUGGGGAGGAUAAGUUAUCGGCUAAUACCCGGUAAUGCAGACGUUACCCACAGAAGAAGCACCGGCAAACUCCGUGCCAGCAGCCGCGGUAAUACGGAGGGUGCGAGCGUUAAUCGGAAUUACUGGGCGUAAAGCGCGCGUAGGCGGUUUGAUAAGCUGGAUGUGAAAUCCCCGGGCUCAACCUGGGAACUGCAUCCAGAACUGUUUGACUAGAGUACAGUAGAGGGUGGCGGAAUUUCCUGUGUAGCGGUGAAAUGCGUAGAUAU